CUCCCAUGACCGCCGCGUCUUGCCGUGGAGUUUCUCACGCGCUUCUUCCCUGCUGCGCUCCUCUGCUCGGUCGUCCCACCCCAGCGCCCUUGCAGCCGAGCUCCCACCUCCCAUGGUUGCCUGCUCCACUGCGCCGUCGCCCAGCUACUGACCAUCGCGCGCGCGCCGGCUAGGAGCUCGCAGGCGACGAUGGUCGCGCUCCCCGACCUUGCCUUGGCUUCCUGCUGCAGUUCGUCAGCACCUCCUUGCGCCCUGUCCAGCGUCCUGCUCGGUUCGGUUCCUUUCCGGCAACCAGCUGAAGCUCCGCCCCAUGACGUUUGGAUCCGGCCACCGUGUUCAGGCAACUGGCCGUUCGUCUUCCACUUUCUCUUCCUUCGUUGACCUGCCCGCUUGCUUUUUCUCUGCGUUCCUGUGAGCGUACGUCUCCCUGUGUGCUUACCGUGGAAGCUGGCCGCGCCCCUUCUCGGCCUCUUCUCUCCAUGGCGCUCCGCCGAGUGGCUCCCCUGCGCGUCUCUCUCUGCUCGCUCACGCACAGCUCACGGAGCUUUUCCUCGUCGGCCCCAGCUCAGUCGAGUCUCCCUGGUAUUCCAGCUCGUCGUCGCGUCAUUCGUCGUCGACCUCGCUAAAUACGUUGUCGCUUGGUCCUGUGUCGUUAGGCUAAUCAACCAUGUUCGCUGCCGCGCGCUUGUCUCUAAUACUGCUCGCGUGGUAUUUGGAUCUCGUCGAUUAGCCCCACCAUCCUUGUUUUCCUCUGGUCACGAUAAAAUCCUGUCCCACCAGGUCAUCGGGAGCUGUUCCCAGCUCACUAUGGAGUUUGCUGGGCUCGCCAUAUUUUUAAAUGUCGUCAAAUCAUCGGAGUUGCUCAACUCACCAAUCGUAUUUUGGCCAUCCCUAUCCGAACUUACCAGCUCGCCGACUGACCGUCGUGUUCCUUGAAAUCCCUUGUCGGUCGACCUCGUGACUUAGUUCGUCGUGUCGUGUGUGCAGCUCUAUAUAUGCCACUCUCCUAUAUCGUCGUCAAAGCUGUCAUCCCCUGUUCGACCCCCACCUCACCAGCUCACUCCAAACACGAUCUUGUCGUCGUUUCGUGUGUCGUCAAGAAAUCCUAAGCGUCGGGUGAAGACGAAGUUAACAGCGCGAUAUUUCCCCAAGCGCUCGACAAGUUGGUUGGAUCGGAAAAUCGCUACCGAUCUCGCGGAUUCGUGUCAGCUGUGGAAACGGUACGUUAAUUAGUCGCGUGAUGCGGAAGAUGACUCAA
Molecule: long non-coding RNA, 1258 nt
Organism: Zea mays
Lineage: Eukaryota; Viridiplantae; Streptophyta; Magnoliopsida; Poales; Poaceae
Exons: 2
Source: RefSeq, marked validated